AGUGAACGCUGGCGGCGUGCUUAACACAUGCAAGUCAAACGAGAACGGGUUAUAGCUUGCUAUAAUUGUCAGCUAAGUGGCGCACGGGUGAGUAAUGUAUAGGUAAUAUGCCUCUUACUAAGGGAUAACAAAUGGAAACGUUUGCUAAUACCUUAUACUCCUUAUUAACAGAAGUUAAUAAGGGAAAGAUUUAUUGGUAAGAGAUUAGCCUGUAUUGUAUCAGUUAGUUGGUGAGGUAAUGGCUUACCAAGACUAUGACACAUAACUGGUUUGAGAGGAUGAUCAGUCACACUGGAACUGAGACACGGUCCAGACUCCUACGGGAGGCAGCAGUGGGGAAUAUUGCACAAUGGACGAAAGUCUGAUGCAGCAACGCCGCGUGGAGGAUGACACAUUUCGGUGCGUAAACUCCUUUUAUAUGAGAAGAUAAUGACGGUAUUAUAUGAAUAAGCACCGGCUAACUCCGUGCCAGCCGCCACCGUAA
This 484-nucleotide ribosomal RNA is filed under the name uncultured bacterium. RNAcentral's name for it is "partial 16S ribosomal RNA". It matches the Rfam family "Bacterial small subunit ribosomal RNA", at positions 29 to 523 of the family's 1533-position model. The record is from RNAcentral.